RNAcentral lists this ribosomal RNA (512 nucleotides) under uncultured bacterium. RNAcentral describes it as "bacterial SSU rRNA". It matches the Rfam family "Bacterial small subunit ribosomal RNA", at positions 10 to 518 of the family's 1533-position model. The record is from RNAcentral.
AGUUGAUUAUGGCUCGAGGACGAACGCUGGCGGCGUGCCUAACACAUGCAAGUCGAGCGGAGAUGAUGUGAGGAAGUUUCGGAUGGAAUCACAUUAUUUAGCGGCGGACGGGUGAGUAACGCGUGAGCGACCAACCUUGCACAGGGGGAUAACGGACCGAAAGGUUCACUAAUACCGCAUGAGACCACGGUGUUGCAUGACACAGGGGUCAAAGGAGCAAUCCGGUGCAAGACGGGCUCGCGUCCGAUUAGGUAGUUGGUGGGGUAAUGGCCCACCAAGCCUAUGAUCGGUAGCCGACCUGAGAGGGUGAUCGGCCACAUUGGAACUGAGAUACGGUCCAAACUCCUACGGGAGGCAGCAGGUGGGGAAUAUUGGGCAAAAUGGGGGAAACCCUGACCCAGCAACGCCGCGUGAAGGAAGAAGGUUUUCGGAUUGUAAACUUCUGUCCUUGGUGAAGAGAAGAAGACGGUAGCCAAGGAGGAAGCCCCGGCUAACUACGUGCCAGCCGCUGC